UUUUGACCUCAAAUCAGGCAAGACUACCCGCUGAACUUAAGCAUAUCUUAAA
RNAcentral lists this ribosomal RNA (52 nucleotides) under Coprinopsis cinerea. RNAcentral's name for it is "partial 28S ribosomal RNA". The record is from RNAcentral. Lineage: Eukaryota; Fungi; Basidiomycota; Agaricomycetes; Agaricales; Psathyrellaceae.